CGGGGUUUCACCGUGUUAGCCAGGAUGGUCUCGAUCUCCUGACCUCGUGAUCCGCCCGUCUCGGCCUCCCAAAGUGCUGGGAUUACAGGCUUGAGCCACCGCGCCCGGCCGGUCUAGCAUGUUUGUCUAUACUCAUGUGAGGAGCAGGAGUGAAACAGUGGCAAUUCUCAUUGGUAUCUCAUAAAUUUAUAUUGAAUUGUUCAGACUGCUUUGAAAAUGCUCCAUGCCAUAAAUCACAGAGCAUUCUACUAUCACUAGAAUCUAUGAUUAUAAACAAAGAGCUUUUGGAAUUUUGGAAUUUAAAAAUUCUGAAUAGUUUCUUUGUCUUGAAGGAAAGUAAAAAGAACAAACUUGUUUUAAACAAAAUCAGAUGCUCCAAAUGGUCAGUUGAUAAUGCUACCAAUCAAAGAAAACUAAGGGGGAAGAAAAAGAAAAGAGGAAAGAGAGGAGGCAACAGGAAAAUCAGCCUUCUUCCUUCAGUCUAUGGUGAGGAUCUGAAGCUCAGAGGAAUGAUGUUAGAUGCUCAAGGCCACAUAGAUGGCAAGCUGGACAGAUGGUCACUUCGGGAAAAUAAGUAGUAGUAUACUGUGUGUACUGAAUUAUGGUGACCAGCUGGGGAGAGAAGUGCCCCAUUUCCAGUGAUACCACCACUGACAUGUCUGACCUCAAGAAGAAAGGGUAGCCCACCAUGAGGGACCGGGUGUGUGACAUAUUAGAUAACCAGAGAAAGGCUAGGAAAAUCCCCCUAACAUGUAAAAGGCUUGGUCUCAUUCCAGAAAGUAGUAGGAAAAGAAAAUAUUUUAAAUCUUCACAUCCAGAAGGUUAAUAUUUAAACUGUUAAAUUAAACUCAAUAGAGCUAUACAAUUUUACCCAAGAUUCACAAAC
RNAcentral lists this long non-coding RNA (886 nucleotides) under Rhinopithecus bieti (black snub-nosed monkey). Its description in RNAcentral is "lncRNA (ENSRBIG00000046608.1)". The record is from RNAcentral. Lineage: Eukaryota; Metazoa; Chordata; Mammalia; Primates; Cercopithecidae.